This 830-nucleotide ribosomal RNA is filed under the name Chrysocicada sp. ERLG-2019. RNAcentral describes it as "SSU rRNA". It matches the Rfam family "Eukaryotic small subunit ribosomal RNA", at positions 952 to 1784 of the family's 1831-position model. The record is from RNAcentral. Lineage: Eukaryota; Metazoa; Arthropoda; Insecta; Hemiptera; Cicadidae.
CAUUUGCCAAGUAUGUUCCCGUUAAUCAAGAACGAAAGUUAGAGGUUCGAAGGCGAUCAGAUACCGCCCUAGUUCUAACCAUAAACGAUGCCAGCCAGCGAUCCGCCGAAGUUCCUCCGAUGACUCGGCGGGCAGCUUCCGGGAAACCAAAGCUUUUGGGUUCCGGGGGAAGUAUGGUUGCAAAGCUGAAACUUAAAGGAAUUGACGGAAGGGCACCACCAGGAGUGGAGCCUGCGGCUUAAUUUGACUCAACACGGGAAACCUCACCAGGCCCGGACACCGGAAGGAUUGACAGAUUGAGAGCUCUUUCUUGAUUCGGUGGGUGGUGGUGCAUGGCCGUUCUUAGUUGGUGGAGCGAUUUGUCUGGUUAAUUCCGGUAACGAACGAGACUCUAGCCUGCUAAAUAGACGAUUUCCGGUAUCCACAAUAGUGCUACCGGCGAAAUCAAUAUCUUCUUAGAGGGACAGGCGGCUUUCAGCCGCACGAAACUGAGCAAUAACAGGUCUGUGAUGCCCUUAGAUGUCCUGGGCCGCACGCGCGCUACACUGAAGGAAUCAGCGUGUCUACCCUGGCCGAAAGGCUCGGGCAACCCGUUGAACCUCCUUCGUGCUAGGGAUUGGGGCUUGCAAUUGUUCCCCAUGAACGAGGAAUUCCCAGUAAGCGCGAGUCAUAAGCUCGCGUUGAUUACGUCCCUGCCCUUUGUACACACCGCCCGUCGCUACUACCGAUUGAAUGAUUUAGUGAGGUCUUCGGACUGGUGCGCGGCGCCCGCCUGCGCGGCCGCCGAUGCCACCGGGAAGAUGACCGAACUUGAUCAUUUAGAGGAAGUA